CCCGCGUUAGCUCAAUUGGAUGAGAGCACUGGCCUACGAAGCCUGGGGUUACACGUUCGAAUCGUGUGCGCGGGACCA
RNAcentral lists this transfer RNA (78 nucleotides) under Variovorax sp. WDL1. RNAcentral describes it as "tRNA-Arg". It matches the Rfam family "tRNA". From Rfam's summary of the family: Transfer RNA (tRNA) molecules are approximately 80 nucleotides in length. Their secondary structure includes four short double-helical elements and three loops (D, anti-codon, and T loops). Lineage: Bacteria; Pseudomonadati; Pseudomonadota; Betaproteobacteria; Burkholderiales; Comamonadaceae. The record is from RNAcentral. RNAcentral also lists the same sequence under 2 other names.